CCUGUGCUCUCGAGGUCACAGCU
RNAcentral lists this microRNA (23 nucleotides) under Callorhinchus milii (elephant shark). RNAcentral's name for it is "eshark_NOVEL_390". The record is from RNAcentral. Lineage: Eukaryota; Metazoa; Chordata; Chondrichthyes; Chimaeriformes; Callorhinchidae.